AGUACGUGAAACUGCUUAGAGGUUAAACCCGAUGAACCUGAAUAUCCAUUAUGGAAAAUUCAAUACUGAUAAUAAGAUAUGAAUAAUAUUUUUUAAUUAGUGUGCAAUUUUUCCAUAUAAGGACAUUGUAAUCUGUUAAUGUUAUAAAUAUUUAUCAAAAGAUUUUUUCUGAAGUUUGUUCAAAUUGUUUAUUUUCGGAUAUUCAACAUAGAAUAAAUGUUAAAAAUUGGAUAAAUCAUUGACAGAUAUAAUUAUAUAAAAUGCUAAAAUUUUUCGGAAUUUAACAAUGGUAGAUGAGUCUAAUGAUUUAUUUAUUUAAUUGUUUGCAUUUUUAUGAUUAACAAUGCGAUAGAUUCAGGAUACCUUCGGGACCCGUCUUGAAACACGGACCAAGGAGUCUAACAUAUGUGCAAGUCAUUGAGUAUAAUAAACUUAAAGGCGUAAUUAACUUAACUUAUAUAUGGGAUUAAUUUAUAAUUUAUAAUGAAUAAUUUAUUCAAUCCCGGGGCGUUCUAUAUAGUUAUGUAUAUUAAUAUUUAUAUUAUUUAUACCUCUAACUAGAGC
This 564-nucleotide ribosomal RNA is filed under the name Eosphaerophoria marginata. RNAcentral describes it as "partial large subunit ribosomal RNA". The record is from RNAcentral. Lineage: Eukaryota; Metazoa; Arthropoda; Insecta; Diptera; Syrphidae.